This 76-nucleotide small nucleolar RNA is filed under the name Cyclopterus lumpus (lumpfish). RNAcentral's name for it is "Small nucleolar RNA SNORD2 (ENSCLMG00005008491.1)". It matches the Rfam family "Small nucleolar RNA SNORD2". Lineage: Eukaryota; Metazoa; Chordata; Actinopteri; Perciformes; Cyclopteridae. The record is from Rfam by way of RNAcentral.
GAGUGAUAUGAUGGCAUACCAUCUUUCGGGACUGACUCUUACAAUGGAGAUAUUUCUCAUAUUUUACUGAUCACUU